Molecule: ribosomal RNA, 414 nt
Filed under: Triticum aestivum (bread wheat)
Lineage: Eukaryota; Viridiplantae; Streptophyta; Magnoliopsida; Poales; Poaceae
Description: partial small subunit ribosomal RNA
Source: RNAcentral
AUGCAGUUCGUUUCCCCCACCCCCACCCAAACCGCGACGGCUGUGCCUGUGCGCCCAUCGUUGCGUGCCGUCCCGCGCUCGCUCGCUUCGGCGGAAAGGCUUCGGAUGGGCCGUGCAGCGACAUGCACCACGGCACUCCGCGCGCAGUGCGGUGGCCGGGCGGAACCGGUGGAGGCGCGCAAGGACGGCGAGCCCGUGUCUCACGAGCGGGUCCAAGAGGAGGACGAGGUGGAGCAGCUGGAGUUGCUGGAGGACGAGGCCAUGGCCGGGGAAGACGAGGGCCGUAGCCCCACGGACUACGGCCGCCGCGCGCACAUCUUCGAGGAGAGCUCCCGGGUGUUCCGGGCCCUCAAGGAGCGCCGUGACGGGGACGGCGGUGCCAAGCCCGGUGCUGCCGCGACGCGCCACGGCUGA